AAGAAGAUAAAAGGAAAGAAAUGUGGGUGAGUCUGGAUUUGUCAGUUUUUACAUACCUCAUCAAAACAAAGGAAAAAGUGAGAGUUGCACUUCUUCUUUAACAGUUGAAAACUGUUCUACAAAAGACAUUGCCCAGAGGCGGAAGAGGCCAGCCAUGGACUGGAGAUGGUGCCUGCUGAGCACCUCUCUGAUGACUGUGGUCCAAAACACAAAGGACUCUCAACAAUAAGAAAACAACCUGAUUAAAAUACGGGCAAAAGAAGAGACACCAAAGACACACAGGUGGCAGGCAAGCAUGGGAAAAGGUGCCGCACAUCGUCAUCAGGGAACUGGGAUCGGAUCAGCUCUGAGAUCCCAGAACCCCACGCGCAUGGUGAACACACCACCUGGCAGCACUGACGUGCCCGGGAAGGGGGCAGCAGGGAGGCUCGCCCUCUGCUGGCGGGAAAGAGAAGUGGCCAGCCCGGGGAAGAGCCCGCGGAGGCCCUCACAGACCUGCCUGCUCUCAGCCUCACCCAGCCCUCUCAGCCCAAGGCAUUUAUCCAAAAGAGGAGAAAACCUGUGUCCACCCAGAAACCUGGGUGCGGAGGGUUACAGCCCACACUGUCUUUCUUCCAGUGACGGAUAAAUACAUGGUGGUUUAUCCAGACAGUGGACCGGUACAUGCCGCCAAAGUGGAACGAGGGGAGCCACAGGAAGGCAAGCCCGUGGCUGGGUGGCGGAGUCGGUCUGGAACGCUG
This 740-nucleotide long non-coding RNA is filed under the name Marmota monax (woodchuck). The record is from RNAcentral. Lineage: Eukaryota; Metazoa; Chordata; Mammalia; Rodentia; Sciuridae.